Molecule: long non-coding RNA, 325 nt
Organism: Oncorhynchus keta (chum salmon)
Lineage: Eukaryota; Metazoa; Chordata; Actinopteri; Salmoniformes; Salmonidae
Exons: 3
Source: RefSeq, a predicted model, not a curated record
AAUACUAAACACCCACUACAGGUACUAUCUUAGUCACUCAAUACCAAACACCCUCUACAGGUACUAUCUUAGUCACUCAAUACCAAACACCCACUACAGGUACUAUCUUAGUCACUCAAUACCAAACACCCACUACAGGUACUAUCUUAGUCACUCAAUACCAAACACCCACUACAGGUACUAUCUUAGUCACUCAAUACCAAACACCCACUACAGGUACUAUCUUAGUCACUCAAUACCAAACACCCACUACAGGUACUAUCUUAGUCACUCAAUACCAAACACCCACUACAGGUACUAUCUUAGUCACUCAAUACCAAACACC